Molecule: unclassified non-coding RNA, 1050 nt
Filed under: Hevea brasiliensis (rubber tree)
Lineage: Eukaryota; Viridiplantae; Streptophyta; Magnoliopsida; Malpighiales; Euphorbiaceae
Source: RNAcentral
GACUUGCCUGUUCGUCCACAAUCUGCGCUGACGGAUAUGAAUAGUGAUAAGCCCGAGGCCCAAGCGCAGGCCCCAACAGCACGCAGGUCGCAGCAGCGGAAAAUCCCUCACACCGACUUCCUGGCGCGUUCUAUUGUAGUUGCAGUUGUAGUUCUCCUUUCUUCAACAUUGAAAUUAAAAAGGAAAAUUGACCUUUCGAAAUAAAUGGCAUCAACCGAUCCUCAAGAAUUCGUUCAAGAACUCUCACCGCUCCCAAAGGUUCUAGUUCCCAAAAUACCACCGUCUUUCUGCAUCAUUGGGGAAGAGCCCUUUACCUCCACCAAAUUCCAGUACUUGAAAGCAUACGAGUCUCCGCUCCCUCUUGAUCAGUUCUUGGCCACUCAUGCGCACUCCGUAAAGGCCAUCCUUUCUACCGCAAGUGCUCCCGUCACUGCUGACCUCCUGCAGUUGCUGCCGGCGGUGCGCCUUGUCGUCACCACCAGCGCCGGCCUCAACCAGAUUGACCUCCCUGAAUGCCGGCGCCGUGGAAUAGCGGUCGCUAACGUAGCCAAUGUCUAUUCUGCUGACGUCGCAGAUCUUGCUGUUGGUUUGUUGAUCGAUGUUUUGAGGAAGAUUUCGGCAAGCAAUCGCUACGUCAAGCAAGGGAAUUGGCCCACCAGAGGGGACUAUCCUCUUGGUUCUAAGUUGGGAGGAAAGCGGGUUGGAAUUGUUGGACUGGGAAAUAUUGGGUAUGAAGUUGCUAAAAGGCUUGAAGCCUUUGGUUGCUGUAUCUCUUAUAACUCCAGGAAGAAAAAGCCAUAUGUCUCGUACCCUUUCUAUGAAAAUGUCUGUGAACUUGCAGCCAAUUGCGAUGCCCUCAUCAUCUGUUGCGGGUUGACAGACCAAACCCGCCACCUGAUCAAUAAGGAAGUCUUAUCAGCACUGGGGAAGAAAGGAGUCAUUGUUAAUAUCGGACGUGGGCCUAUUAUUGAUGAAAAGGAAAUGGUAAGGUUUUUGAUGGAAGGAAAGAUUGCAGGCGCUGGCUUGGAUGUGUUUGAGAAUGAGCCUGAU